This 602-nucleotide ribosomal RNA is filed under the name fungal sp. FCAS125A. RNAcentral describes it as "SSU rRNA". It matches the Rfam family "Eukaryotic small subunit ribosomal RNA", at positions 74 to 680 of the family's 1831-position model. Lineage: Eukaryota; Fungi. The record is from RNAcentral. RNAcentral also lists the same sequence under 2 other names.
UUAUACAGCGAAACUGCGAAUGGCUCAUUAUAUAAGUUAUCGUUUAUUUGAUAGUACCUUACUACUUGGAUAACCGUGGUAAUUCUAGAGCUAAUACAUGCUAAAAAUCCCGACUUCGGAAGGGAUGUAUUUAUUAGAUUAAAAACCAAUGCCCUCUGGGCUCUUUGGUGAUUCAUGAUAACUUCUCGAAUCGCACGGCCUUGCGCCGGCGAUGGUUCAUUCAAAUUUCUUCCCUAUCAACUUUCGAUGUUUGGGUAUUGGCCAAACAUGGUUGCAACGGGUAACGGAGGGUUAGGGCUCGACCCCGGAGAAGGAGCCUGAGAAACGGCUACUACAUCCAAGGAAGGCAGCAGGCGCGCAAAUUACCCAAUCCCGACACGGGGAGGUAGUGACAAUAAAUACUGAUACAGGGCUCUUUUGGGUCUUGUAAUUGGAAUGAGUACAAUUUAAAUCCCUUAACGAGGAACAAUUGGAGGGCAAGUCUGGUGCCAGCAGCCGCGGUAAUUCCAGCUCCAAUAGCGUAUAUUAAAGUUGUUGUGGUUAAAAAGCUCGUAGUUGAACCUUGGGCCUGGCUGGCCGGUCCGCCUCACCGCGUGUACUGG